RNAcentral lists this ribosomal RNA (418 nucleotides) under uncultured bacterium. Its description in RNAcentral is "partial 16S ribosomal RNA". It matches the Rfam family "Bacterial small subunit ribosomal RNA", at positions 362 to 772 of the family's 1533-position model. The record is from RNAcentral.
UACUGGACAAUGGGGGCAACACUGAUCCAGCCAUGCCGCGUGUGUGAAGAAGGUCUUCGGACUGUAAAGCACUAUAAUCUUGGAGGAAGGGCUUUAGGGUAAUACCCUGAAGUAGUGACGUUACCAACAGAAUAAGCACCGGCAAAACCAGUGCCAACAGCCGUGGUAAUACUGAGGGUGCAAGCGUUAAUCGGAAUUACUGGGCGUAAAGCGCGCGUAGGUGGUUCAGUAAGAUGGGUGUGAAAUCCCCGGGCUUAACCUGGGAACUGCUUUCAUAACUGCGGAGCUAGAGUACGGUAGAGGGUAGUGGAAUUUCCUGUGUAGCGGUGAAAUGCGUAGAUAUAGGAAGGAACACCAGUGGCGAAGGCGACUACCUGGACUGAUACUGACACUGAGGUGCGAAAGCGUGGGGAGCAAA